Long non-coding RNA from Macrobrachium nipponense, 505 nucleotides. RefSeq lists it as uncharacterized. The transcript has 3 exons. The record is from RefSeq and is a predicted model, not a curated record. Lineage: Eukaryota; Metazoa; Arthropoda; Malacostraca; Decapoda; Palaemonidae.
AGUUGUGGCACCGUUGAGCUGUAGUGAGGUGACGUUGGGGCUUUGUUUGUUAUCUCGCGUAGUUUUAUUAGUGUUCAAAUUACUAUGUUUCUCGGCAUCUUGAAUCGUUUACUUCAGCAACGAUGGAGUGUCCAUAUAGUUUGGAUGGUCGACGGGUCUCGUUAGCGGAUUUUUGGUGAGGUGAAGGUCAGAAUGAGCCUACAGCAACCAGACGAGUUGAAGCCUACAACCCCACGAGGUGAAUGGUAACUAUACUUUUGUAAAUGAUUGAUGAGUAUCUGGUGGAGUCGAUAAAUGGAUAGACGCUUAAUCACAUUCCACAAAAGCCGAAAUCUUUUGACCUCACAUCAACGGCUCUUGUUUGUCGGUUACGUGCUGUAAUAAGGACGUCUGGAGUUCCAAGUAUACAGCACACGCCGUAGAUUUGUGGAGGAUUUCAUCGGUAAUAACUUUCGAUUUCAAGAGAAUUAAUUGGCUUUUAUAAUUUCAUUUUCUUUAAACCAUG